GCUCUGGUGGCCUAGUGGUUAAAGCGGCCGCCUCGGAUACGGGAGGUUGUGGGUUCGAUCCCCAGUAGAGUCA
Potamilus streckersoni is the source of this 73-nucleotide non-coding RNA. Lineage: Eukaryota; Metazoa; Mollusca; Bivalvia; Unionida; Unionidae. The record is from the annotation of a GenBank genome assembly.